This is an unclassified non-coding RNA of Pan paniscus (pygmy chimpanzee), 348 nucleotides long. Its record names the gene 7SK. It matches the Rfam family "7SK RNA". Rfam says of the family: 7SK was discovered as an abundant small nuclear RNA in the mid-70s but a possible function has only recently been suggested. Two independent studies have found that 7SK RNA binds the CDK9/cyclin T complex (known as elongation factor P-TEFb). The record is from Ensembl. NCBI's taxonomy places the organism in Eukaryota, Metazoa, Chordata, Mammalia, Primates, Hominidae.
UCAUGUGAGGGUGAUCUCACUUCAACAUCUGCCACCCACUGAUCACCAGGGUUGAUUCAGCUGAUGUCUGGCUACGCGGGUGUCCCCUUUCUCCACUGUUCCACGUGUAGCCCUCCUCAAGUUGAAAACUUGGUUGAAGAGGAUGACCUUCCCUGAUAGGAAAGGACCAUUCUUUAAUAAAGGUGUGCAAGUAGCUCUGUAAGCUCUCAAGGUAAAGGUGUCUCCUGCACUGCCAGUCUUAUAGUCAAUCACUGCAAAUAGCAAGAAGCCUAAUUUCUGCGAGAUUCUAAGUUGCGAUCCAUCUUGCCAGUUUCGUUUGUAAGCAAGGACGUCUGCAUUUAAAUAAAC